Molecule: ribosomal RNA, 231 nt
Filed under: Triticum aestivum (bread wheat)
Lineage: Eukaryota; Viridiplantae; Streptophyta; Magnoliopsida; Poales; Poaceae
Description: partial small subunit ribosomal RNA
Source: RNAcentral
AUGGACGGGGCUGUCCCCAGCACAGGCUUUCUCACUCACCUCCUAUGCCGCUUGCCUUGCUCGUUUGGUUGCCACCCGUUACUGCCUCCAAGCACCAUCUAUGAAUCUCCGUGGUUAGUUCCUUCGUCGAAUCCUCAAGGGUCACCUUCAGUAAGUGGUAACCGAAGUGCAACAAUGACCGGUGAAGACCCCUGUCCCGUGUACCAUCCUGUUGCUGUCGCUGGACACUGA